This 272-nucleotide small nucleolar RNA is filed under the name Stegastes partitus (bicolor damselfish). RNAcentral describes it as "Small Cajal body specific RNA 6 (ENSSPAG00000013648.1)". It matches the Rfam family "Small Cajal body specific RNA 6". From Rfam's summary of the family: U88 is small Cajal body specific RNA (scaRNA). scaRNAs are a novel class of small nuclear RNAs which localise to the Cajal bodies. Lineage: Eukaryota; Metazoa; Chordata; Actinopteri; Pomacentridae. The record is from Rfam by way of RNAcentral.
GGUCAGUGAUGUGAAGUAAAAGGUCUGAACCUCAGGCUCCGCCCGCCGCCCCUCUGGCUCCCAGCAGCCCUGCUCUCUGCUCCCAUCAUGCUCUAGUGGUGCAGUGGUGGUCCAGCAGCUGCUGACAGACAGGAUGUGACAUCACAGCGGGAGUCUGUGCUCAGACCCUGCAGGGUCCCUGUGAUGACAGACAUCCAACAGAACCAAUCAGCACGGAGCGCCAGGUGGAGGGGGCGGGGCCUGAGUGGUGAUCUCACUGUUCUACUGAGACC